Molecule: ribosomal RNA, 709 nt
Filed under: Chaetophloeus insularis
Lineage: Eukaryota; Metazoa; Arthropoda; Insecta; Coleoptera; Curculionidae
Description: partial large subunit ribosomal RNA
Rfam family: Eukaryotic large subunit ribosomal RNA
Source: RNAcentral
UGAAACCGUUUAGGGGUAAACCUGAGAAACCCGAAAGGUCGAAGGAAGAAAUUCAUUCGCGUUUCGUCGUUGGCAACGAGUGGAAUUGUGUGACAUACAAUAACGUUUCGGCGUUAAAGUUUGCGCCUUCUAUUUGUUGAUCCAAUGGUGAACGUGUGCACUUUUCUUCUGGUAGGACGUCGCGAUUCGUUGAGUGCCGGUUUACGAUUUGCGGUGUAGUCCAUUCGUCACGUGUUAAAGCGUAUAAGAUGUUUGAACCCGUAAAAUUCCAGCCGGCUUGCUCGACGAUAUGCAAACGGUUUAGAGCCGCUUUUAAGCGUUCGAUUCUAAGCAAGCGCGCUAGUUGAUUCGCGGCAAUCGGACCUAGUGCCGAUUCUGCGCUCUAGUGACUGUUGGCUUGGAUAAUCUCGAACAGACUCUUAAAAUUGUAAUAAAAACCGAUCUGCGGCGCUAUAGCUUUGGGUAAUUUCAGGACCCGUCUUGAAACACGGACCAAGGAGUCUAGCAUGUACGCAAGUCAUUGGGAGCGACUAUACCUAAAGGCGAAAUGAAAGUGAAGAUCUUUUUUGCAAAGAUCAAGGGAGGAUAAAUGGUGAGAAGAAACUGUUUCGCACUCCCGGGGCGUUUCAUUCUCAUUGCGAGAAGAGGCGCACCAAGAGCGUACACGCUGGGACCCGAAAGAUGGUGAACUAUGCCUGGUCAGGAUGAA